RNAcentral lists this ribosomal RNA (250 nucleotides) under uncultured bacterium. RNAcentral describes it as "partial 16S ribosomal RNA". It matches the Rfam family "Bacterial small subunit ribosomal RNA", at positions 524 to 773 of the family's 1533-position model. The record is from RNAcentral.
UACGGAGGAUCCGAGCGUUAUCCGGAUUUAUUGGGUUUAAAGGGAGCGUAGGCGGCCCCUUAAGUCAGUGGUGAAAGACGGUGGCUCAACCAUCGCAGUGCCGUUGAUACUGAGGGGCUUGAAUUCAAUUGAGGAAGGCGGAAUGUGGCAAGUAGCGGUGAAAUGCAUAGAUAUGCCACAGAACACCGAUAGCGAAGGCAGCUUUCCAAGCUGAGAUUGACGCUGAGGCUCGAAAGCGUGGGGAUCGAAC